This 314-nucleotide ribosomal RNA is filed under the name uncultured bacterium. Its description in RNAcentral is "bacterial SSU rRNA". It matches the Rfam family "Bacterial small subunit ribosomal RNA", at positions 32 to 324 of the family's 1533-position model. The record is from RNAcentral.
AAUCAACGCUGGCGGCGUGCCUCAGACAUGCAAGUCGAACGCUGCUGUUCGCCUUCGGGUGGACAGCGGAGUGGCGCACGGGUGAGUAACACGUAGGUAAUCUACCUUUGGGUGGGGAAUAACAGCCGGAAACGGCUGCUAAUACCGCAUAAUGCAGCGGCAUCACAUGAUGACAGUUGUUAAAGCGAGGGAUCGUAAGACCUCGCGCCUGAAGAGGAGCCUGCGGCAGAUUAGGUAGUUGGUGAGGUAAUGGCUCACCAAGCCUGCGAUCUGUAACCGGCCUGAGAGGGCGGUCGGUCACACUGACACUGACA